This is a non-coding RNA of Mycena rosella, 88 nucleotides long. Lineage: Eukaryota; Fungi; Basidiomycota; Agaricomycetes; Agaricales; Mycenaceae. The record is from the annotation of a GenBank genome assembly.
GCCAAUAUAAUAGUAUAGUGGUUAUUUUGUCCGCACUUUAAAUUGUUAAUUCGCGCGAAGGUCGCCGGUUCAAUUCUCACUGCUGGCA